GGCUACACAGACUGUGCAGAAUGUGGCACCUUCCUAUGGUCCUAUGUCAAGAAAAUCUGAUGCAGUCUGCUGUUAGGCACUUCCAACCAAUCCAGAAAUAUGCAGACAGAACCAACUGUCAAUCCCUCUAGAGACAGUUCUUUUCCUAAUCCAAAAACUUCUGAUGCAGGAUCUUCUGGCCAAUCUAGCUCUUGAAUGAAGAUUGCUGAUCUACCAGUUCACUACCUUGUUACUCAGGAUUUAUCAUUGAAUACUUUCUUACGCUUGUAACUGUAGAAGAAAAACUUCCUUAAGCUCUCAGGCCUAUGAUGACUAUACAUACACUCUUAUAUAUAAUGGAUGUAUGUACGUACGUGUGUG
Non-coding RNA from Nicotiana tabacum (common tobacco), 360 nucleotides. NCBI's taxonomy places the organism in Eukaryota, Viridiplantae, Streptophyta, Magnoliopsida, Solanales, Solanaceae. The record is from RefSeq and is a predicted model, not a curated record.